ACAAGUUCUGAGAUUUGACCCGAGAUAAAGAUAUUUUAUUCCAUAUUAUUAUUACCAUUUGAACAGUACCAAUCUGGAAAUGUCAGCAACAAUUCAAAGCAACAGAGCAUAAAUUAACUUCAAUGCGAAUCCUGAGACCUACUUGGUGAGUUCUAGCCGCAUGAAAGCCGAGACGUGUUCCGUAAUUCAAUAUAUCUAACUAUGUAUGUACAUAUAUCCCAACGAAAACCAAGAGACAAAGUUGCAGUGACUGUGGCACAGAGGUCACAUUUGGCAGCCCAUGGAUGAGGACUAAUAAACAGGUUCACAGGCGCAGGCACAGCACAGCUUCCCUUAUCGUCUUCCUCACCCGGAGUGUUUCAUCCGGCUCGUCGUGAAUUCAUAGUUUGUCUGCCGGGUUUAUACCCACUACGUGAUUUACGGCAAUAACUCAUUGUGCCAAGCAACCAAACACAGGACGCAAAUCAAGAGACCAGCGAACGUGUCUCUCUUCCUACACACAUAUGUAUGUAAAUGCAACCAUGAAAACUAUUUCAAAGGGAGCCAAGCAGAACAAAAAGCAAAAAAAAAAAAGCAAAUAUCACCCUCUAUUAGAGGUCGACCACUUUCUGGACAUAUGUUGCGCCCUGCUGCCUGUCUGACUGCCUGCCUUGUGUGAUGAUAUAUGACCCUUGCCCCCCACUCUCCGUUCUCUCUCUCUCACUAUAUAACCCUGUACAAUUCUUGAUUAUGGUGGCUACAAAUGCCUCGAAGCAUGAAGCAGAAUGGUUGCAUUUGCUGGUAUGUUAAGACUUCUGUUUGCAUAUAAGCUCAAAACACAUAAUUAAUUGAAAGAUAUGCAUCGACAUCGACUUUUUGGGGCAGUAUUUGGAAUAUUUGGCUAGUAUUUUGU
This is a long non-coding RNA of Drosophila willistoni, 892 nucleotides long. RefSeq lists it as uncharacterized. NCBI's taxonomy places the organism in Eukaryota, Metazoa, Arthropoda, Insecta, Diptera, Drosophilidae. The transcript has 5 exons. The record is from RefSeq and is a predicted model, not a curated record.